AGAGUUUGAUCCUGGCUCAGAACGAACGUUGGCGGCGUGGAUUAGGCAUGCAAGUCGAACGAAUCCCGGCCCCUCACCCUUGCCCUCAGGGAGAGGGUGGGGUGAGGGGCCGGGGGAAGUGGCGAAAGGGGCAGUAAUGCGUGGGUAACCUACCCCGGGGACUGGGAUAGCCUUCCUAACGGAUGGGUAAUACCGGGCGAUGUGGCUGAGACUCCUGUCUUGGCCAUGAGAUGGGUUUCCGCCUCGGGACGGGCUCACGUGGUAUUAGCUAGUUGGUAGGGUAAUGGCCUACCAAGGCCGAGAUGCCUAGCUGGUGUGAGAGCACGACCAGCGCCACUGGCACUGAGACACUGGCCAGACACCUACGGGUGGCUGCAGUCGAGGAUUUUCGGCAAUGGGCGCAAGCCUGACCGAGCGACGCCGCGUGCGCGAUGAAGGCCUUCGGGUUGUAAAGCGCUGUCGGGGGGGAGAAAGGCCGCAAGGCUUGAUCUAUCCCCGGAGGAAGCACGGGCUAAGUUCGUGCCAGCAGCCGCGGUAAGACGAACCGUGCGAACGUUGUUCGGAAUCACUGGGCUUAAAGGGCGCGUAGGCGGUUUGCCAAGUCAGGGGUGAAAUCUUUCGGCUCAACCGGAAAAGUGCUCCUGAUACUGGCGAUCUCGAGGGAGGUAGGGGCAUGUGGAACUUCUGGUGGAGCGGUGAAAUGCGUUGAUAUCAGAAGGAACGCCGGUGGCGAAAGCGACGUGCUGGACCUCUUCUGACGCUGAGGCGCGAAAGCUAGGGGAGCAAACGGGAUUAGAUACCCUGGUAGUCCAA
This 813-nucleotide ribosomal RNA is filed under the name uncultured bacterium. RNAcentral describes it as "bacterial SSU rRNA". It matches the Rfam family "Bacterial small subunit ribosomal RNA", at positions 8 to 798 of the family's 1533-position model. The record is from RNAcentral.